GAUGAACGCUGGCGGCGUGCCUAAUACAUGCAAGUCGAGCGAACAGAUGAGGAGCUUGCUCCUCUGACGUUAGCGGCGGACGGGUGAGUAACACGUGGAUAACCUACCUAUAAGACUGGGAUAACUUCGGGAAACCGGAGCUAAUACCGGAUAAUAUAUUGAACCGCAUGGUUCAAUAGUGAAAGACGGUUUUGCUGUCACUUAUAGAUGGAUCCGCGCCGCAUUAGCUAGUUGGUAAGGUAACGGCUUACCAAGGCAACGAUGCGUAGCCGACCUGAGAGGGUGAUCCGCCACACUGGAACUGAGACACGGUCCAGACUCCUACGGGAGGCAGCAGUAGGGAAUCUUCCGCAAUGGGCGAAAGCCUGACGGAGCAACGCCGCGUGAGUGAUGAAGGUCUUCGGAUCGUAAAUCUCUGUUAUUAGGGAAGAACAAAUGUGUAAGUAACUAUGCACGUCUUGACGGUACCUAAUCAGAAAGCCACGGCUAACUACGUG
Molecule: ribosomal RNA, 497 nt
Filed under: uncultured bacterium
Lineage: Bacteria
Description: partial 16S ribosomal RNA
Rfam family: Bacterial small subunit ribosomal RNA
Source: RNAcentral